UACGAAGGGGGCUAGCGUUGUUCGGAAUCACUGGGCGUAAAGGGCGCGUAGGCGGCUUUAUAAGUCGGGGGUGAAAGCCUGUGGCUCAACCACAGAAUUGCCUUCGAUACUGUAGAGCUUGAGACCGGAAGAGGUAAGUGGAACUCCGAGUGUAGAGGUGAAAUUCGUAGAUAUUCGGAAGAACACCAGUGGCGAAGGCGGCUCACUGGCCCGUUACCGACGCUCAGGCGCGAUAGCGUGGGGAGCAAACAGG
RNAcentral lists this ribosomal RNA (253 nucleotides) under uncultured bacterium. RNAcentral describes it as "partial 16S ribosomal RNA". It matches the Rfam family "Bacterial small subunit ribosomal RNA", at positions 524 to 776 of the family's 1533-position model. The record is from RNAcentral.